CCUACGGGGGGCAGCAGUGGGGAAUAUUGGACAAUGGGGGCAACCCUGAUCCAGCCAUGCCGCGUGUGUGAAGAAGGCCCUCGGGUUGUAAAGCACUUUCAGUGAGGAAGAACGCCUGGUGGUUAAUACCCAUCAGGAAAGACAUCACUCACAGAAGAAGCACCGGCUAACUCCGCGCCAGCAGCCGCGGUAAUACGGAGGGUGCGAGCGUUAAUCGGAAUUACUGGGCGUAAAGCGCGCGUAGGUGGCUUGAUAAGCCGGUUGUGAAAGCCCCGGGCUCAACCUGGGAACGGCAUCCGGAACUGUCAAGCUAGAGUGCAGGAGAGGAAGGUAGAAUUCCCGGUGUAGCGGUGAAAUGCGUAGAGAUCGGGAGGAAUACCAGUGGCGAAGGCGGCCUUCUGGACUGACACUGACACUGAGGUGCGAAAGCGUGGGUAGCAAACAGGAUUAGAUACCCUAGUAGUC
This 465-nucleotide ribosomal RNA is filed under the name Vreelandella stevensii. RNAcentral describes it as "partial 16S ribosomal RNA". It matches the Rfam family "Bacterial small subunit ribosomal RNA", at positions 338 to 795 of the family's 1533-position model. The record is from RNAcentral. Lineage: Bacteria; Pseudomonadati; Pseudomonadota; Gammaproteobacteria; Oceanospirillales; Halomonadaceae.